AGUGAACGCUGGCGGUAGGCCUAACACAUGCAAGUCGAACGGCAGCACAGUAAGAGCUUGCUCUUACGGGUGGCGAGUGGCGGACGGGUGAGGAAUACAUCGGAAUCUACUUUUUCGUGGGGGAUAACGUAGGGAAACUUACGCUAAUACCGCAUACGACCUACGGGUGAAAGCAGGGGAUCUUCGGACCUUGCGCGAUUGAAUGAGCCGAUGUCGGAUUAGCUAGUUGGCGGGGUAAAGGCCCACCAAGGCGACGAUCCGUAGCUGGUCUGAGAGGAUGGUCAGCCACACUGGAACUGGGCCACGGUCCAGACUCCUACGGGAGGCAGCAGUGGGGAAUAUUGGACAAUGGGCGCAAGCCUGAUCCAGCCAUACCGCGUGGGUGAAGAAGGCCUUCGGGUUGUAAAGCCCUUUUGUUGGGAAAGAAAAGCAGCAGGUUAAUACCCCGCUGUUCUGACGGUACCCAAAGAAUAAGCACCGGCUAACUUCGUG
This 492-nucleotide ribosomal RNA is filed under the name uncultured bacterium. RNAcentral describes it as "partial 16S ribosomal RNA". It matches the Rfam family "Bacterial small subunit ribosomal RNA", at positions 29 to 507 of the family's 1533-position model. The record is from RNAcentral.